Macaca mulatta (Rhesus monkey) is the source of this 3750-nucleotide non-coding RNA. The record is from RefSeq and is a predicted model, not a curated record. Lineage: Eukaryota; Metazoa; Chordata; Mammalia; Primates; Cercopithecidae.
UAAAUGAUCAUUGGGCUGCAUUUGUCCUUAGCUAAUUUAUCCUCGGCCUAGAGAGAAAGUUUCUGCCUUUUUUUUUUUUUUUUAAGAGGAAAGCUGGAAAGGUGCUUCAGGCCUAAUAUCUUUGCUUGGUCUCUUUUUUGGGCACUGGGCCCUGUAUUUUCCAUCUGGCAAUGCCGUGUGGGGCUUGUUCCAGGCGCUCUACGGGCCUCGUGCCGCCUGUGCUGGCCGGAGCCAGCGUGGCGAUCAGAUGUCUGGGUGUGCCUGGCACGACCCCACCUCACUGCUCCCCUGAGCUGUCUUUCCCCUGCAGAGGGGCCAAGGAGCACCCCUGGGAGGCCGUGAGUGUCAGCAAGAAAGGCACGGCAGGGCGGGGACAGGGCAGGGUGAGCAGGACUCCAGGGCGUGGUGGCCGCGAGUCCCAGCUCUCAGAGGAACAGGCCUUGAAGAUGCAGGGAGGUUUGCACCGACAAAAGCCUCGGCAUCUCUCUUUAUUUUUACCUUACAUGCACCGCCACUACGGCUUCCUGCUGUAGCCUCUCCCCACCCGAGAGGCAUUCCCAGCCCCCAGGACCACAGAGAGGGGCAGGGGUCUUCAGUGUGGCUAAGGGCCACCGCCUGCAGCACCUGGGAUGGAGCUGCCAACUACCCCCAUCCUCAGAGCUGAAGUCUCCUAGCGUUUGGGCCUUGACUUUCUUAAUGCGAGAUACAGCUCAAAGCUUGCGGUGACAUUUCUGUCUUCGGGUGCUAAAACUGCAUUUCCUUCUUGAGUUCCAUGUUUCAGGGAGAGAAUCAUGAAGAAACAGAAUAAAGGACUUUGUUGCAAGCUGCAGUCAUAAAGAAGGACAUGUGGGUGAGGCUGGGAGCCCGGGGAGCCUGGUGUCAGCUCCAAUCCGAGCAGCGGGGCCAGCAGGAAGACCCGGCCUCUGUGAGUGUGUGGGGUGCUUUGGAGAUGGGGGUGUGUUUAGACUUUGUCGCUUACAUGUUAUUCCCAUAGCAGGCUCUGCACCAGUCCCGGCACUGCCUGCGGCAUCUGAUUCUGCCAGUGCUGCCCACUUAGCUUUUGGGUACAUGGAAGUUCUGCAUCGUGGUUCCUGCUGAAGAAGGGAGUGUGUGGCUGUGUAUGUGUGUGUGCACAGGCAUGCACACACCUGUGUUUACGUGAACACAUAUGAGCAAGUGCAUGUGUAUAUGCAUGAACACGUGUGUGCACUGAGGUACAUGCAUGUGUGCAUUCGCCUACAUGUACAUGUGUGUGUGCACGUGGUACACAUGUGCGAUUGGCAAGCGUGUGCACACAUAUGUAUAUGGGCACAUGUAUAUGCAGGCAUGUAUGCACGUUUGGGCACAUAUAUGUACAGGCAUGUAUGCACACGUGGGUGUGCAUGUAUAUUAUAUGAGCACACGUGUGCGUCCACUUACAGGCAUGUGUGCAUGUAUGUGUGUUUGGCGUGUGCGUAUUUGUUACGUAUAUGUGGCCACACACGGAUACAGGUAUGUGUACACAUGUGCACGCAUGCUUGCCCAGAUACAGACCUGCACGCCUCCCUGCCCUCCAUCCCGCCUUUGGGGUCUCCAUCACCGCUGCUUGUUGAUACGUCUUGAAAAGGUCCAGGCUGGCGGGCAUGUCCUGCUGCCCAGGUGGGCAGGAGUGGGAACAGCAUAUCUGGGCCUUCUCCAGGUUUCCUCUGUCAGCCCGGAGGAGGGCAAUCACGACGCAAUUUCUUACAAUAAUGAUACCUCACAUUGCAUAAUCGUUCAUGUCCUUCAAAAUAUUGAAAAUCGUAGCACAGAAAGUUUGAAGGGUUCCACAGCAACUCAGCACCACGAAGUCAGCCACGGCCCCACACGUCGACGGCUCAGUUGGGUGACAUGGCCGGCCCCGGGGACGCCUCUUUCUGCUGACGUUCAUCCACAUCCACAUCCAGAGCUUCUCGGUGUCCAGGAGAUGCUGCCAGCUCCUGGCCCCAGGAUGGGUGUGAGGCUGUGGCCCCGGGGUGAAAAGCUACAUCUCCCACGGCAGAUAGCCACCAUCACGGCUGUUAGAUGCCUGCGGACCGGACAAUGCAUCUAAAGGAAAACGGACCCAGGCGGGAAGACCAGCGGCCGCCCGAGUGUUGGCAGAAGCAGGCCCGUUGCUGAAUCGUGAUGUUUGUAGAAAUCGCUGUUUUAGCCACUGUUGGCUCCUCUCAAACUCCUGACCGACCCCAAGAGCUGCCGGGAAGCCCCUUCCCCUGCGACUCCUCAGGGACACGGGCUCCGGCUGCAGCCUCAAGUGACCCCUUUGCAGGAGUCCAAGAAAAGAGAAGCUGCUUCUGUGGAUUUCUGUCCUAGAUGAAGCCACAGCGGCAGGAAGUGGUAGCUGGCUGCUCCCAGGGUCUGUUUGGCUGGGACAAGAGGUCUCAAAGCUGUCCCUGGGAAGGAGCUUAGGCGGUGCUGAGCUGAUGUUCAGGGGGGCGGAGGGAGAGACAGGGAAAAAGCUUAGGCAGUGCUGAGCUGAUUUUCGGGGGGGCAGAGGGAGAGACAGGGCCGGAGACACGGGGAACACGGUCCAGAGGCAGCGGGGAGCAGUGGGAGGGAGAGCCAGAUCCUUUGCGACACUGGCUGUGGGCUGGGACAACGGGGAGGGUGAGGCAGUCCCAGCUCUCAGGGCCUCUGGCCCAGGAUGGGGUGUGAGAUGGCCAAGCUGCCGUGGGGCCGCCCAGGAGGAGGAGAAGCAAACCCAUCGGGGAGGGCUCACGGGCCUGGUGGUAUCUGCAGAGGCUCCUGAAGGGUGUGUGAGAGUGUCCAGGAAGGGUGCUUGGAGGGAGCCCUGGGCGAGUGGCCGGCACGAACAAAGGCCUAGGGUGCCCAGAGCCCUGUGUGGGUCGGAGCUGGGUCUUUCCAGGUCAGGGUUAAGGUUCGGGCUGUGUCUCUUUUCCACAGCCCUUGAGAGCGUAAGAUUUCCGCAAAUGUAGCUUGCAUGGUUUCUGACAGUCAGAAAUAAUCCACAUGGUAGGCUUUCUGUAAUCCUGUACUUUAAAAUUGGCAUCACAGACCAGUGCCCCUGCAGAGAGCAGCCUGGGCCUCCAAAUGGAGGAGCCUGCUGGGGAAUGAGCUGUCUCGGGGGUCCACACUGGAGGAGCCACACCCAGGCUGGAAAGCCUCUAUGCAUAGCGGGCCCCGGAGCCGCAGGUCCCUGGUGCAGGGGGUGGAGGUCAGGCAGGCCCUGGGCAGCCAACUGCUGCCCGAAGCCCACCCUGAGGAGGGAGGGAGGCAGAAGAGGAGGCAGGACAGAUCCCUUGGGGGAGGCAAAGCCACUUCCCCAGACCCAGCAGUGCCCAUAUCUGGGGGACCCCAGGAAGGGCCGGCACUUCGUGGACACCCCUCCGGCCAGGCCCUUGGUUCCAAGUUCACACCGGCUCCCUGUGGAAUGGUCUGACGGACAGGAGUCUGACCUGGAGAAUCCAUGCCUCUCACACAUGGAGCUGGGCAACAGCUGGGACCUGCCCCGCUCAGCCUCAGGCUCCCCGGAGGCUCCCCUGCCACAAGAGGGGCUGUCCCGGGUGCUUCGAGUGGAGUGAGCUAGAGGGAGUGGGACAGUAGGGCCGCCUGGGAGAGCCGGCCUUGCCCACCACCUGGCCGGAGCUGGACUGACGUCGGCUGGCUCCAAGUCCAGGAGGACACUCAUGAACUCUGAGCUACUCAGAGGGUACGAGUCCUGCUGCAACACAGUGGUCUUUACAAAGUGUGAAUGAACUGAAACUUCAUAAA